UAGGUGACGAAAUGGCAAAUCUCUCUAAUAGUAUGGGCAUGGGCAUCAUUCUCCGGUAGGUGUUCCAUGAUAAAGCGAUAAAGCAUAAGCGCCGCUGGGGCUUGGUGGAUGGCGGGAUAAAGCACCUCGUAAUCCAUAAUGGUCCUACGGUACUACCGGAACAGUACUACGGUAAAUAUACAUAAUGGUACUAUGGUACGGUACUAUGUAGGAAGCAUGAGCGGAAGCCUCGAGAGGGGGCUGGGGGAGCAUGGGGCCGAUGUAGCUGCGGCCGGACAGACUGCCGCGUUGGCGCGUGGGGCCUACGAACAAGUAGUCACCAUUGACUGGGCAGGUGCAGCCCUGUUAAAGCCAACCUGUGGGUGCGCAGG
This 371-nucleotide long non-coding RNA is filed under the name Androctonus crassicauda. Lineage: Eukaryota; Metazoa; Arthropoda; Arachnida; Scorpiones; Buthidae. The record is from RNAcentral.